Molecule: ribosomal RNA, 253 nt
Filed under: uncultured bacterium
Lineage: Bacteria
Description: partial 16S ribosomal RNA
Rfam family: Bacterial small subunit ribosomal RNA
Source: RNAcentral
GACGAACCGAGCGAACGUUGUUCGGAAUCACUGGGCUUAAAGGGCGCGUAGGCGGGCUGCCAAGUUUGGGGUGAAAUCCUCCGGCUCAACCGGGGAAGUGCCUCGAAUACUGGCGGUCUGGAGGGAGGUAGGGGCGUGCGGAACUGUGGGUGGAGCGGUGAAAUGCGUUGAUAUCCACAGGAACUCCGGUGGCGAAGGCGGCACGCUGGACCUUUUCUGACGCUGAGGCGCGAAAGCCAGGGGAGCGAACGGG